CUACCACAAACAACUAAACCGUAGCUCGUAGCUCCUCAUCCAGAUGCCUCUUGAACACCAGCAGAAGUACCUCUUCACAAGCUGUCCAUUUCUUAAACAUAGAAGCUGCCUCCCUCCAAUAGACAACCGCUGUUUCCUCCGGGAUUCAUAUUGAUAGUCUCCCUGUGAUCAGAUAGAGCUCCACGUUCUUCAGCAGGGGAGAAUGAACUUACACCUCUUCCUGCAGAACUGAAUCAUCCCUGCUUCUCUCUUCAGACAGCAGUCACAGUUCCAUUUCGACCCCAUUAUCACUGUAGACUCACAGAUGACAUUUUGCAGAGCUGUUCUGUCACUGUUGGGGCAUUAUCUGUUGUUGAUAGGAUGUAGAAGAACAGAGUUUGAAUGUAAAUGUCUGUUGCAGUUACUAUUCACUAGAGGUUUAUUUGGGAUGCAAAAAUUAAAAAUCAAUAUUUGUCAAAAGAUAAAGGAUAAAGUAUUAAAGUCAGCUUUUAAGGACCA
Gallus gallus (chicken) is the source of this 498-nucleotide long non-coding RNA. Lineage: Eukaryota; Metazoa; Chordata; Aves; Galliformes; Phasianidae. The record is from Ensembl.